GAUGAACGCUGGCGGCGUGCCUAAUACAUGCAAGUCGAGCGAACGGACGAGAAGCUUGCUGCUCUGAUGUUAGCGGCGGACGGGCGAGUAACACGUGGAUAACCUACCUAUAAGACUGUGAUAACUUCGGGAAACCGGAGCUAAUACCGGAUAAUAUUUUGAACCGCAUGGUUCAAAAGUGAAAGACGGUCUUGCUGUCACUUAUAGAUGGAUCCGCGCUGCAUUAGCUAGUUGGUAAGGUAACGGCUUACCAAGGCAACGAUGCAUAGCCGACCUGAGAGGGUGAUCGGCCACACUGGAACUGAGACACGGUCCAGACUCCUACGGGAGGCAGCAGUGGGGAAUCUUCCGCAAUGGGCGAAAGCCUGACGGAGCAACGCCGCGUGGGUGAUGAAGGUCUUCGGAUCGUAAAACUCUGUUAUUAGGGAAGAACAUAUGUGUAAGUAACUGUGCACAUCUUGACGGUACCUAAUCAGAAAGCCACGGCUAACUACGUG
RNAcentral lists this ribosomal RNA (497 nucleotides) under uncultured bacterium. RNAcentral describes it as "partial 16S ribosomal RNA". It matches the Rfam family "Bacterial small subunit ribosomal RNA", at positions 28 to 507 of the family's 1533-position model. The record is from RNAcentral.